GACGAACGCUGGCGGCGUGCUUAACACAUGCAAGUCGAACGGAAAGGCCCUGCUUUUGUGGGGUGCUCGAGUGGCGAACGGGUGAGUAACACGUGAGUAACCUGCCCUUGACUUUGGGAUAACUUCAGGAAACUGGGGCUAAUACCGGAUAGGAGCUCCUGCUGCAUGGUGGGGGUUGGAAAGUUUCGGCGGUUGGGGAUGGACUCGCGGCUUAUCAGCUUGUUGGUGGGGUAGUGGCUUACCAAGGCUUUGACGGGUAGCCGGCCUGAGAGGGUGACCGGCAACAUUGGGACGGAGAUACGGCCCAGACUCCUACGGGAGGCAGCAGUGGGGAAGAUUGAACAAUGGGCGGAAGCCUGAUGCAGCAACGCCGCGUGCGGGAUGACGGCCUUCGGGUUGUAAACCGCUUUCGCCUGUGACGAAGCGUGAGUGACGGUAAUGGGUAAAGAAGCACCGGCUAACUACGUG
RNAcentral lists this ribosomal RNA (468 nucleotides) under uncultured bacterium. Its description in RNAcentral is "partial 16S ribosomal RNA". It matches the Rfam family "Bacterial small subunit ribosomal RNA", at positions 28 to 507 of the family's 1533-position model. The record is from RNAcentral.